GUAUUUUUUUAGUAUUACUUUUAAAACAGAAGUUCAUUCUUUCCGUACAUUAUUAACAAUCUUGACAAUAAAUUACAAUAUUUACCAUACCAAGUGCGAGAAUAAAUUCAGGUUUGAGAUGUUCAGCCAAGUUUCCCAAUUCUUCUGCCACUGCCUUUUCGACCUUAGUGUAAUAUGGCGAAAUAAUUUGUCCUCCCCAAUCACCGAUAGCAAAAAAUUGUAAAGAGCCCAUAGACGGUAUUUUGCGACAUUCUACCAGACUCGGCCUGUGGGUUAGCAGAAAUACAAAUAAUCCCAUCAGAAAAACGCAGAUACUUUGCUGUUGCAACAUAUUUCAGUUACAUAAUCUGAUUAUCUUCCGAAUUAAACUCCACUCGCGGUGAGACUGUAUACUCUCCUUAAAUGUAACUUUAAUUAAAAUAUUUUUUGCUUUUCUUGUAUUUGUCUGCCGUUUGACUUUUCA
Molecule: non-coding RNA, 463 nt
Organism: Paramuricea clavata
Lineage: Eukaryota; Metazoa; Cnidaria; Anthozoa; Malacalcyonacea; Plexauridae
Source: the annotation of a GenBank genome assembly